This is a small nuclear RNA of Nannospalax galili (Upper Galilee mountains blind mole rat), 106 nucleotides long. The record is from Ensembl. NCBI's taxonomy places the organism in Eukaryota, Metazoa, Chordata, Mammalia, Rodentia, Spalacidae.
GCGCUUGCUUCAGCAGGAUGGGUACUAAAAUUGGAAUGAUAUAGAGAAGAUAAAGCAUGGCCUGCACAAAAAUGACACACAAAUCCAUAAAAUAUUCCAUAUUUUU